UCCGUAGGUGAACCUGCGGAAGGAUCAUUACAAGUGAGGCUACCGAACGUUGGAAACAGCGGUUAGGAGCUUACACCCACCCGUGUUUACAUACUAUUGUUGCUUUGGCGGGCCGUGGCCUCCACUGCGGGCUCUGCUCGUGUGUGCCCGCCAGAGAACCAAACUCUGAAUGUUAGUGAUGUCUGAGUACUAUCUAAUAGUUAAAACUUUCAACAACGGAUCUCUUGGUUCUGGCAUCGAUGAAGAACGCAGCGAAAUGCGAUAAGUAACGUGAAUUGCAGAAUUCAGUGAAUCAUCGAAUCUUUGAACGCACAUUGCGCCCUGUGGUAUUCCGCAGGGCAUGCCUGUUCGAGCGUCAUUUAACCACUCACGCCUAGCGUGGUAUUGGGGCACGCGGUCUCGCGGCCCUCAAAAUUAGUGGCGGCGCCGGUGGGCUCUAAGCGUAGUACAUACUCCCGCUAUAGAGUUCUCCCGGUGGCUCGCCAGAACCCCCAAUUUUUUACAGGUUGACCUCGGAUCAGGUAGGGAUACCCGCUGAACUUAAGCAUAUC
RNAcentral lists this ribosomal RNA (551 nucleotides) under uncultured Phialocephala. RNAcentral describes it as "eukaryotic LSU rRNA". The stretch from base 205 to 358 matches the Rfam family "5.8S ribosomal RNA". Lineage: Eukaryota; Fungi; Ascomycota; Leotiomycetes; Helotiales. The record is from RNAcentral.